AUACGGAGGGUGCAAGCGUUAAUCGGAAUUACUGGGCGUAAAGAGUACGUAGGUGGUUUGUUAAGUCAGACGUGAAAGCCCCGGGCUCAACCUGGGAACUGCAUUUGAAACUGGCAAACUAGAGUAUGGUAGAGGGGGGUAGAAUUUCUAGUGUAGCGGUGAAAUGCGUAGAUAUUAGAAGGAAUACCAGUGGCGAAGGCGGCCCCCUGGACCAAUACUGACACUGAGGUACGAAAGCGUGGGUAGCGAACAGGAUUAGAAACCCCAGUAGUCC
Molecule: ribosomal RNA, 274 nt
Filed under: uncultured bacterium
Lineage: Bacteria
Description: partial 16S ribosomal RNA
Rfam family: Bacterial small subunit ribosomal RNA
Source: RNAcentral